CUCGUAGGUGGUUUGUCGCGUCGUCUGUGAAAUUCCGGGGCUUAACUCCGGGCGUGCAGGCGAUACGGGCAUAACUUGAGUACUGUAGGGGUAACUGGAAUUCCUGGUGUAGCGGUGAAAUGCGCAGAUAUCAGGAGGAACACCGAUGGCGAAGGCAGGUUACUGGGCAGUUACUGACGCUGAGGAGCGAAAGCAGUGGGUAGCGGAACA
This 210-nucleotide ribosomal RNA is filed under the name uncultured bacterium. Its description in RNAcentral is "partial 16S ribosomal RNA". It matches the Rfam family "Bacterial small subunit ribosomal RNA", at positions 568 to 775 of the family's 1533-position model. The record is from RNAcentral.